This 494-nucleotide ribosomal RNA is filed under the name uncultured bacterium. Its description in RNAcentral is "partial 16S ribosomal RNA". It matches the Rfam family "Bacterial small subunit ribosomal RNA", at positions 28 to 507 of the family's 1533-position model. The record is from RNAcentral.
GACGAACGCUGGCGGCGUGCUUAACACAUGCAAGUCGAACGGUGAAGCGCCUUCCUUUUUGGUGGGUGUGGAUGAGUGGCGAACGGGUGAGUAACACGUGAGUAACCUGCCCCCUUCUUCUGGAUAACCGCAUGAAAGUGUGGCUAAUACGGGAUAUUCUGGGUCUGUCGCAUGAUGGGUCUGGGAAAGAUAUUGUUUCGGUGGGGGAUGGGCUCGCGGCCUAUCAGCUUGUUGGUGGGGUGAUGGCCUACCAAGGCGGUGACGGGUAGCCGGCCUGAGAGGGUGGACGGUCACACUGGGACUGAGACACGGCCCAGACUCCUACGGGAGGCAGAAGUGGGGAAUAUUGCACAAUGGGCGCAAGCCUGAUGCAGCGACGCCGCGUGAGGGAUGGAGGCCUUCGGGUUGUGAACCUCUUUCGCCAGUGAAGCAGGCCUGCCUCGUUUGUGGGUGGGUUGACGGUAGCUGGAGAAGAAGCGCCGGCUAACUACGUG